This 253-nucleotide ribosomal RNA is filed under the name uncultured bacterium. RNAcentral describes it as "partial 16S ribosomal RNA". It matches the Rfam family "Bacterial small subunit ribosomal RNA", at positions 524 to 776 of the family's 1533-position model. The record is from RNAcentral.
UACGUAGGGGGCAAGCGUUGUCCGGAAUCAUUGGGCGUAAAGCGCGUGUAGGCGGUCCGGUAAGUCCGCUGUGAAAGUCGGGGGCUUAACCCUCGGAUGCCGGUGGAUACUGUCGGGCUUGAGUACGGAAGAGGCGAGUGGAAUUCCUGGUGUAGCGGUGAAAUGCGCAGAUAUCAGGAGGAACACCAAUAGCGAAGGCAGCUCGCUGGGACGUUACUGACACUGAGGCGCGAAAGCGUGGGGAGCGAACAGG